This 492-nucleotide ribosomal RNA is filed under the name uncultured bacterium. Its description in RNAcentral is "partial 16S ribosomal RNA". It matches the Rfam family "Bacterial small subunit ribosomal RNA", at positions 29 to 507 of the family's 1533-position model. The record is from RNAcentral.
AGUGAACGCUGGCGGUAGGCCUAACACAUGCCAGUCGAACGGCAGCACAUUAAGAGCUUGCUCUUACGGGUGGCGAGUGGCGGACGGGUGAGGAAUACAUCGGAAUCUACUUUUUCGUGGGGGAUAACGUAGGGAAACUUACGCUAAUACCGCAUACGACCUACGGGUGAAAGCAGGGGAUCUUCGGACCUUGCGCGAUUGAAUGAGCCGAUGUCGGCUUAGCUAGUUGGCGGGGUAAAGGCCCACCAAGGCGACGAUCCGUAGCUGGUCUGAGAGGAUGAUCAGCCACACUGGAACUGAGACACGGUCCAGACUCCUACGGGAGGCAGCAGUGGGGAAUAUUGGACAAUGGGCGCAAGCCUGAUCCAGCCAUACCGCGUGGGUGAAGAAGGCCUUCGGGUUGUAAAGCCCUUUUGUUGGGAAAGAAAAGCAGCAGGUUAAUACCCCGCUGUUCUGACGGUACCCAAAGAAUAAGCACCGGCUAACUUCGUG